RNAcentral lists this ribosomal RNA (459 nucleotides) under uncultured bacterium. RNAcentral's name for it is "partial 16S ribosomal RNA". It matches the Rfam family "Bacterial small subunit ribosomal RNA", at positions 338 to 795 of the family's 1533-position model. The record is from RNAcentral.
CCUACGGGAGGCAGCAGUGAGGAAUAUUGGUCAAUGGGCGGAAGCCUGAACCAGCCAAGUAGCGUGCGGGAUGAAUGCCCUACGGGUCGUAAACCGCUUUUGCACGGGGAUAACACCCUCCACUUGUGGAGGUCUGCAGGUACCGUGCGAAUAAGGGCCGGCUAAUUCCGUGCCAGCAGCCGCGGUAAUACGGAGGACCCGAGCGUUAUCCGGAUUCAUUGGGCUUAAAGGGAGCGUAGGCGGGUGUUGAAGUCAGCUGUAAAAUCGCGCGGCUCAACCGCGCUCCGCAGUUGAAACUGUACGCAUUGAGUUCACAACAGGCAGGCGGAAUAAGUGGUGUAGCGGUGAAAUGCUUAGAUAUCACGAGGAACCCCGAUAGCGAAGGCAGCCUGCCGGAGUGCGACUGACGCUGAGGCUCGAAGGUGCGGGUAGCAAACAGGAUUAGAUACCCGAGUAGUC